GGAGGAGUGGAGUGGGAGCCCCAGAUGGUCUGAACUUAACCUUGAGAUCUAACCUUUGAAGACAACACCAUGCAGGACUAUAAAUAGGUAAGAAAAGCUAUGGAAGUGAGAAAAGAGAUCUCCACAAAGUUGAUUUCAUGGACCUGCUCUGAAAGAGAGAGUACUCGCAGAUGAGAGCAGCAUGAAGAUUGCCUGAAUAUCUCUGUAAUUUAUGGCAGCCCCUUGACGCUGGAAGAAAUUACAUCACAUACACAUGGAAAAAAAAAACAACCUAGUGGAAAGAGUGAGAUUCAACAUAAACUUGCAAGCUCUGCUUAUAAUGUGAAGCAACAAUACAUGAACAUACUGUUCUUCUGCUGCUACUCUGGAGAAAGAAUGAGGGUAAAACGUGUGAGAGAGCCACAGUUAAAUUACUCACUAUUAGCCCCUACAGUGUGCUUCCAACCUGUGUUGAUAUAUAUAUACAGAGAGAGCGAGAAUGUCACAGUUAAAUUUUUUUUACUAGUAUAAUGAGGAAAGAGACCAACAGAAGAAGUUCCCUUGGCUAAUUUUCUAGCCAGCAGCCACUGCAAUGUUCCCACUAGGAGAAACUGAAGAAGUGAGAGAGUGAUAUAAUAAAUAAUGACUGGCUCUGCUGGUAAGGAGAAAUUAUCACUGUGCUUGGGGGAUCUAAGUAUGUGCUCACCCAAGAUAUGUGGAGGGGGAUGGGGCUGGGAGCACUCUGUCGUGUCUCUAGAAGAACGUUCAGCAAUGUUUGAAUUUAAAAGGACUUCAGACACCGCACAGUCUGCUAAACCAAGGAUGGGAAAAGCUGGAUGGAGCUGUCUGGAUGAGACACGUGAAAAGAUGACAAAGGAGUUUCGAAUCGAAGAUCUUGGUUUAAACAUACUCCUGAAAAAGGAAGGUUUAAAGCAAUGGGUGGGUUCACAGCCAGGCCCAAGAGCUGAGGUCCUAACUGGUUUCCCCAAGGGUGAGUUCCUGUGCUGCUUGCCAGGUGACUAAGGCUGCGCCCAGCCUCGUCCUGGUCAGACUGAUGGUGGCAAGGAAAAAGAUGGAGAGAGAGAUAUACCUUUCCUAUAUUUAACUUCUGCCUUGGAUAAAGCAAUGACAGGAAACACUGGGGAAAAAAUUUUGUCUGCAGCUGAGUUGGUAUUUGGAGACUGAACUGAGUAGUGUGACACAAGAGUCUGUGUGUAAAAGAAACUUGUGUUUUGUCAACACCAGCUUUUCACCACUGGAUUUUAGGGGAGAGGCUAAGGAGACUGCUCUUGGCUUGAGACCUAACUUUGGCCAGGGCUGGGAGGCUGAGCCAGGGCUGCAGCUGCUCUUGUGAGAAAUGAUAGUAAAAUCAUUCAUCUCUGGCUGUAAUGGCCCCUCUUGCAUAGAAAGUAGCCGUAUUUUAAAAUCUAUGAGGCUUUUUCUUUAUUGUAGACUAAAAGGAGGAGCAAACCGAGAUAAAGUCACAUAUACGAGCCGAGCACUAUGUGCAUGUGUCUAUGUGUUUCUCUUCAAAGCUCUGUCUUGCAACAUGGCAUUUGCCCCUGCAGGCAGGCAUAGUCCUUAGAAACAUAAAGGUGCAGUUCAGAGAAAAGGUCUCUUACAGGAAAGAAAAGUGUUAGGGCUUAGCUGAACACAAAUUAUUAGGCUUGGUGUAGGGCAGCUCGGUAAGGAGCAGUGGUCUGCGAUCCAGAUGAUGUCAGAUCAGAUGGUCAAAUGGUUUUGCCUACCCUUAGGUUCUAUUAAUUAAACUAUAUGGAAAAAAAUCCCAUGAGCUGUAUUUGCUAAAAUC
Molecule: long non-coding RNA, 1789 nt
Organism: Numida meleagris (helmeted guineafowl)
Lineage: Eukaryota; Metazoa; Chordata; Aves; Galliformes; Numididae
Exons: 3
Source: RefSeq, a predicted model, not a curated record